ACCCUGUAAACAUAGUAGAUAAAACACAAAGGGAAUCUAACUCAUCUGACUCAUAGAUCGGUUUUAAAGAUCUGAUGAAAAAAAAAAAAAAAAAAAACCUGUUCCAAGGAGUCUAGGCCAGGUUUUCAAUUCAGGAACGAGGUUAGGCUGCCACCUAGGUACGCUCAGCUCCUCGCCUAGCUCCUGGCACGGAACAUCUCAAACAAGUGAGCGCCAGCUGCGUCCCGUUUGCAAACUUCCCUUCGGUGUACCGUACAGAGACACGCUAAUUACGAGCACCCGAUUUACGCACGGAAAGAAAUCCACAAUUUAGGACACAGCGCGCCUUGCGGCCCUUCUUUCACGCCCGUCUCUAUGGUUGGCAGGUGACCACUCUACACUCUGGAGGACUCAGCGAGGACAGCCUCUCCUGAGGCCCCUUUACCAGCACGUGACCGGAAGUCUGGCUUGCUAUUGGCUAGAGCCGGUAGAGCCCGCCCAACCGCCUCCUGUCAGUUCCUUUAAGUAGAAGCCAGAGGCCCCCGCUCGGCCUUUCGGGGACUGUGACGCCGGACCGGCCAGGUGCGUUUGUGUUGGGCCCCGGCGGGCCGGCCCGCAGCCUGGUGGGUCGCGGGGGGCGGCCUGCAGUGAUGACAUUCCAGAAAAAUGCACGUGUUAGACUGCUGACGCGGGUGAUGCGAACUACAGUCUGAGUCGGGCCUCCGCGGCGGCGGGCAGGAGACGGGCAGGCCCGCGGGCGCGCAGCCGCUAACCACCGCUCUCGUUCUUGCAGGUUCCGGCUGGGCCGAGGACGUCGGAGCUUCCUGCCCUCCUCCCCGCCCACCUUUACCCCGAAGCCUCGCAAUAAAAUGGUUUGAUCCAGCGCUGGUGUUAAGCGUCUUCGUCGUCCCGACGCGCUGCCUUUGAGCCCCCGCCGCGCCUGCGCGUGGCGCCGGGGGUCAGGCUGCAGCGCCAGAGCACGCGCUUGCGCAUAACUGGGGCCGCCCGGUUCCCCCGCCGGCGGCCCUUUUAACCGCGAGCGACACGGCGGCACCUGCAGGGGACGCGAGCGUGGGGCGGGGGCGAUUUGCGACUCCAGCCUCAGCCCUUGAAGCCGAGGCUGAAACGCCCCGGGCAGACGCGGCGAUCCUCUAGGC
This 1136-nucleotide long non-coding RNA is filed under the name Canis lupus familiaris (dog). Lineage: Eukaryota; Metazoa; Chordata; Mammalia; Carnivora; Canidae. The record is from RNAcentral.